UCAUAGUCUGUAAGAGAGAUCUUUAUUAUUCCAAUAGAGAACUUUUAUCAAACGGCUCAAGUGCAGCUUUAUUUCUUCAAUAUGGUAUCACGAGCCUAAACAAGACUUGCGUCCAGCUCCUUCUCUAUUUUCUUCUGGCUUCUUUGUCUUCCCUCCCAUGGCAUCAUCUAAUAAAUCAUCCCCCACAAACAUCCUCAACACAGCCUCUCACUUAUCACAAUCAAGCUUACCAUAGAUAAUUAUCUUCUAUGGAAAGCUCAGAUUGUACCAUUUUUAUAGGGUCAUCAAUUAUUCGUAUGUGUUGAUGGGUCGUUUCCUAUGCCUACCCUGUCCUCUACUGAUAUUCCUAAUCAUGAGCAUACCAAGUGGGUUCUUCAAGAUAAAUCGAUUAUGUCCACUCUUAAUUCUUCUCUUUCUGAGUCGGUGUUAGCUAAGGUUCUUUACUGCACUACGUCUUCUGAAAUUUGGAGUACUCUUCAAAGCCUCUUCGCUACAAAGUCUUCCACUCAUGUUGUCCAUACUCAAUAUCAGUUAGCCACUUUGAAGAAAGGCCUUGAAUCUGCUUCCGAUUACUAUAACCGAGCAAAAUCUCUUGUUGCCACCUUGAGUGCUACGGGACAUACUUUGAGUGACUCUGAGUUCUCUAUUUUUCUUCUUGCGGGACUGGGUUUUGAAUAUGAAUCACCGAUUGCCUCACUUACCACCCGUCCCGAUCCCAUUUCUCCUCAUCAACUCUAUAGUUAUCUUCUGAAUCAUGAGUCUCGUAUGUCUCAUCAAACUCAAAAUCUUCUUUCUAAUAGCACACGUGCUGCGCAUAAUACUACCCAUUUUUCUCCAAAUACUGCAUCCAUUCGUGGUCGGUUCCUAGCUCGUGGAGGCAGAUGAGGUUGAUCUUCACCUCGUGGUUUCAACUCAGGACCACAAGCUUUUUCGUCUCAAUUUAAUGCGUCUUCUCCUCGUCCAGACACUCGUCCUCAGUGUCAAGUUGCCAAAAAUUUGGUCACGCAGCUUUGUCCUGUUAUCAUAGGCCACUCCUUACCCAGCUUCCCCCUCACCACCUCUCACAGCAAAUUAUACUUCUCUCUCUCAUUCACCUUCAUCUGCCACUACCUGGUUCCCAAAUACAGCUGCUUCACAUCAUUUUACCUCAGAGUUCAACAACCUCAACUUGGAGUCGACGCCAUAUCAGGGACCUGACCAAGUUCGCAUCGGGGAUGGCUCUGCACUGGCCAUCCAUCACCUUGGCACAACUCAAACGCCGACCACUUCUGGCAAUUUCCUUUUAAAUACCAUUCUUUAUGAUUCACGCUCCCAGGAAUUACUCCUCCAGGGUCACGUUGAAGAUGGUCUGUACGCCUUGCCGCCAACUGCCUAGAUUUCCACCUCCUCCCCUCAAGCUUUUCUAGGUGUUCGGACUUCUGCAGCACAACUAUGGCAUUCGAGUGCUUGAUACCUUCCAACAAGGCCAUCAGUUCAGCACGGGCACUAGAGCCAUAGCCAAGAUUAACAGAGAAGGCUAGCAACAGGGAGCCAUGCAUGUCUCGAAUAACACCUCCUGCCCCUGAAGAUCCUGGGUUUCCGAGACUACUACCAUCAGUGUUGAGUUUUACUCGAUCCUAAGAAGGCUUUGUCCGUGAAAUGAAUUGAAUUUGAUGUUGUUGAGAUGGAAUUGGAGGAAUGUUUAAACUAUGUAAAAUGUAUCUAUUAGCUGGAGUAAGCUUCUUCACCCUUGAAAUGCCAUGACUAAUCAUGCCAAUCCAAUGUUUGAUAGAAUACCACACUGCUUGAACCGAAUCUAAAAUGCCUUUCAUACGCGCUAAGCACCUUUGCUCCCAUAGUUUCCAUGAUAUAAAUGUGGUUCUACCAAUCAGUAAGCCCAAUAAAGAACCACAUUUCUUCCAUACCUCAACUGCAAUCUCCCCAGUGAAGAUGACAUAAUUCUGAUCUUCAUACCUACCUUGUUGGCAGCAUUCACAUUUCGAAGUUAGAGGAAUCCCAAUUCUUCUAAUUCUAUUGUCCACAGCCAGAGCACCAUGCCAAGCCUUCCACAUAAGGACUAAAAAUUAUUUUGGAAGCAAAUUGUACCAAAUCCACUUAUGCCCUUCCCAAACAGAACCUCUAACCCGAAUACACUCCCAAGCUGAUUUAGUGGUAAACAUACCACUAUCAAAUUUAGUCCAGAUUAACACAUCUGCUCCUUUAAUUUUAGCAAGCACAUUGAGGAUACUAUCAACUAUUUCCAUUCCCACCAUCCUAUCUAACAAAUCCACAUUCCAUCCAUUGUCAAGACAAUAAUCCUUCACUUGUAAAAGAGGUUGCUCACCCAUAGGAAAAUUUUCAGUAAGAGUCCCCUAAUCUAAUCACUUAUCAUACCAAAAGAAAACAUGACCAUAAUUAAUCUUCCAUUUGGAGUUAUUCAAAACGAGGGGAAGACAAUUAGCGAUCAUACACCAAAAUCUAGUACCUUUUUAAGGUUCUAACAGCAACAAAGGUCUAUUACCAACAUAUUUGGAGAGGAAAAAAUUAGCCUAGAGAGAAUCCUCGUUCAUUAGUUUCCAUGCAAAUUUUAAAUGGAGGGCUCUAUGCAUAUCAUCUAGAUUUCUAAUUCCCAAACCCCCUUCGGUAGUAGGACGACAUAUUUGAUUUCAAGCAACCCAUUUUCACUUUCCCCUUCCUUUACUUUCUCCCCCAAAAAAAAGAACUCAACAACUGAUUUAAAGAAUAAAUGAUGGCUUUGGGAACCUGCAAAACUGCAAAAGAAUGCAAUGCCAUACUAGUAAGGACAUGUCUCAGUAAAAUUAAUCUCCCACCCAUAGACAAUAAUCUCAUUUUCCAACCACUAAUUUUCUUAUUAACUUUGUUCACAAGUUCCUCCAAAUCUGCAAUUUUAAGCCUCCCCGAAACUAUGGGGACUCCCAAAUAUUUGAAAGGAAAAAUACUCUCGCAAAAAUCCAUAAUUCUCUUUAGAUGACAUUUACGAGUAAUGGAGAUUUUCUUCGAAAAAAAACAUUGAGUUUUUUCUUUACUAAUUGAUUGACCAGAUCACUCCUCAUAAGUAGCCAAAAUUUGCAAAAGACAAUGGAUAGAAUUCCAAGCACUAUUAGUGAAAAUAACCACGUCAUCCGCAUACAUAAGGUGGGAUAUCAAACAAGUGCCUUGAGGUUGAGAAAUUGGCCAAGUAUCUUCUCAUCCACAUUUUGCUUAAUAAGUCUAGAUAAAACUUCCUGGAAAAUAAUAAACAAGUAAGGGGACAAAGGGUCUCAUUAUCUUAACCUACGACCACCUUUGAAAAAACCUUUAGUAGUACAAUUCAUCAUGAUAGAAAACCAAGGAGUAGAAAUACAUUCAUUGAUCAACUCACAGACUUGAGGAGAAAAACCAAAAGAGCAAAGAACCUCCAACAGGAAGGCCAAACUAACACGAUUAUAUGCCUUCGCCAUAUCCAAUUUAAGCACCACAUUCCCCCCA
Carya illinoinensis is the source of this 3468-nucleotide long non-coding RNA. RefSeq lists it as uncharacterized. The record is from RefSeq and is a predicted model, not a curated record. Lineage: Eukaryota; Viridiplantae; Streptophyta; Magnoliopsida; Fagales; Juglandaceae. The transcript has 3 exons.